This is a non-coding RNA of Pelobates cultripes (western spadefoot toad), 281 nucleotides long. NCBI's taxonomy places the organism in Eukaryota, Metazoa, Chordata, Amphibia, Anura, Pelobatidae. The record is from the annotation of a GenBank genome assembly.
CUCAUGGUUGUUUUCGAUAAACUCACCCAGACAGCUGAUUUUCUGGGGAAUGUCAGCAGCGAGCUUGUCUAUAGAGAGCCGCACACUAAUCACCUCUGUCAUUAGUGACUUCGUUACGUUUACUAAAACCUAAACUACCGUGCCAUUCUGUGUCCAAAUUCAUUGGGGCAUCUCAUCUAUUGCAGAGCAUGACAUAUUGACAUUCUGACGUGAUUAGAGUUGUACUCCAUACAAAAAUAAAAUCCAAAAUUAGGCUUUCUGUAUUAUGAGGGCAGUCUAAG